UACAGAGGGUGCAAGCGUUGUUCGGAAUUACUGGGCGUAAAGCGCGUGUAGGCGGCGUCGUUAGUCGGAUGUGGAAGCUCUCGGCUCAACCGAGGAAGUGCGUCCGAUACUGCGAGGCUUGAGUGUUGGAGGGGGUGGCGGAAUUCCCGGUGUAGAGGUGAAAUUCGUAGAUAUCGGGAGGAACACCUGUGGCGAAGGCGGCCACCUGGACAACCAACUGGACGCUGAGACGCGAAAGCGUGGUAGCAAACAGGAUUGAGAUACCGGGGUAGUCCAAGCACGAAUGAUACCUUCCUGCUACAUCAGAUCACCGACCUGCCCCCGUCAAAGAAGG
This 334-nucleotide ribosomal RNA is filed under the name uncultured bacterium. RNAcentral's name for it is "partial 16S ribosomal RNA". It matches the Rfam family "Bacterial small subunit ribosomal RNA", at positions 524 to 868 of the family's 1533-position model. The record is from RNAcentral.